GCCUCGCGUCAUGAUCGUCGUGAUGCAACGAGUUCAGCCACCAAUAAGAGCCGGGCAUUGGAUUUUAGAGGAAUUACAAAAACGCAGAACUUCUCCAGCCAAUCAUCCAAAGGCACAAAAGAAAACACGGCGACGUGACUGUGUUUGACGUGCAAUUUGGAGGAACAUGCAAAUAGGUGGAUGAGCUGUGUGUGUGUGUAUCCUGGUGCCCUGUGAUGGAUCAGGAGCCAGUCCUGGGAAUACUGGCCAUGAGGUGGGAUAGCAACCUGCAUGAUACCACAGCUUCUGCUCGGAUCUUGGCAUGCCUAGUGGACAUAUCUUCGUUGAUGAGUGCUCAUCAACUAGAAUUUAACCACAGCAAAACCCAACUGCUGGUCAUCCCAGGCAAUUUAUCUCCAGGCUGCUAAGGUGCUUGUUCAGUCUCUUGUCAUUUCAAGACUGGACUACUGCAAC
This is a long non-coding RNA of Silurus meridionalis, 453 nucleotides long. RefSeq lists it as uncharacterized. The record is from RefSeq and is a predicted model, not a curated record. The transcript is spliced from 5 exons. Lineage: Eukaryota; Metazoa; Chordata; Actinopteri; Siluriformes; Siluridae.